This 570-nucleotide ribosomal RNA is filed under the name uncultured bacterium. RNAcentral's name for it is "partial 16S ribosomal RNA". It matches the Rfam family "Bacterial small subunit ribosomal RNA", at positions 355 to 914 of the family's 1533-position model. The record is from RNAcentral.
UGGGGAAUAUUGCACAAUGGGCGCAAGCCUGAUGCAGCCAUGCCGCGUGUGUGAAGAAGGCCUUCGGGUUGUAAAGCACUUUCAGCGAGGAGGAAGGUGGUGAGCUUAAUACGCUCAUCAAUUGACGUUACUCGCAGAAGAAGCACCGGCUAACUCCGUGCCAGCAGCCGCGGUAAUACGGAGGGUGCAAGCGUUAAUCGGAAUUACUGGGCGUAAAGCGCACGCAGGCGGUUUUGUUAAGUCAGAUGUGAAAUCCCCGGGCUCAACCUGGGAACUGCAUUUGAAACUGGCAAGCUAGAGUCUCGUAGAGGGGGGUAGAAUUCCAGGUGUAGCGGUGAAAUGCGUAGAGAUCUGGAGGAAUACCGGUGGCGAAGGCGGCCCCCUGGACGAAGACUGACGCUCAGGUGCGAAAGCGUGGGGCAGCAAACAGGAUUAGAUACCCUGGUAGUCCACGCUGUAAACGAUGUCGAUUUUGGAGGUUGUGCCCUUGAGGCGUGGCUUCCGGAGCUAACGCGUUAAAUCGACCGCCUGGGGAGUACGGCCGCAAGGUUAAAACUCAAAGGAAUUGAC